Long non-coding RNA from Puntigrus tetrazona (Sumatra barb), 2472 nucleotides. RefSeq lists it as uncharacterized. Lineage: Eukaryota; Metazoa; Chordata; Actinopteri; Cypriniformes; Cyprinidae. The record is from RefSeq and is a predicted model, not a curated record. The transcript has 2 exons.
AGCUGGAACCUGGGAACACUCCUCAUAAAACACAAUGUACUUGUUGCAUUGUAAAAAGAUUGACAUCUACGCUAAUAUUAGUCGUUUCUUUCUUAUUCUGUUUCUCGGUUUGUAACUCUGUAAUAGUUGGCUUAGUUUUGUGAAUUCAUGUGUCUAUCCUUUCUUCCAGGUUGGAUAGCAGUAGCAGAGUCUCAGUGGCGUGCCUGAGUAUGCAGACUAGAUCACGAGAGAACUUUUGAGUAAGAAAACAGACUUGGGUUAGGUACAUAACACAAAGCAACUGCAAGACCAGACAAUGAGAGUGUGGAGUGAGCGUGUUCUUAUGUAGAGCUUGAUUGGCAUCAACAGGUGAGGGGCAUUCACUGAUAGGAGUACAAGUGUAAGUGCAGAGGCAGCUCAAUUGGUGACUGUGUAAAAAACCAUUUUAAAAUUAAUUACCCAUAAUAUGUCAUUAAAAUUUAGUGAUGCAUGGCAAGAUAUAUAAACUAUUGUUGCACUGAAUUACAUCUUAGUCUUUGUCUUCUGUGGUGUAAUGGAAGAGGCUAGACACAAAGGUAAAACAAAUAAUGUUUAUUGCACAGAUGGUUCAACAGAGUAAUGCACAAGUAUUACAGUCUUUGGAGAUCUUUCUUGGGAGUUGGAGCAGAGAAUAACUGGGUAUCUUGUAUAUAUUGGUAUUCAGGAGAACAGGAGACACAUUGGGGGAGCACAAACACCUCAGUAUGUCGACAACUGGAGAGAACUUGGGAGACAUGGAGCUUGGGAGACUACGGAUAAACACAAGAAGACCUCAUGGAACAAUCACACAAACAAACUGCAGAAGUUUAUUACAAAAAGGAGUUUCAAAAGAGUCCCCUCUCCCAUCUGCGGUCUUAAAGCUAUUAAUGAUCAAAUAAGGACCGACAGUGCUCAAAUAGUUUGGACCUAUGUCCUGGCAAAGAGGAUGGUUGCUCAAAACGCUCCUGUUCAUCAAAAUUAAACCAAUCAGCCCUAUGGCGCGACACCUUGGAAAACAAAGUGAAGCUGAAUUGAUCACAAGACCGGGUCUUUGUAUUAAGGAGAACCUUGUCGUCCAGUGAAACUGUGCAAUGCCGCAGGACACAUUAAUAAUUCAUGAUUCUGCUUCCUAUCUGCUUGGGACUUUAACCAUUCUUACAUACAACAAACUGAACAUUUCAAUAAAUAAUAUUAAAGCACACAUGCUAUGUUAUAAUACACUUGCUAUGCCUUAUAUGUGCUUGUUGGAACUUAAUCGAUGCAUUAUACAUUUUUACCUCUAUGAAUUAGUGUAAUCAUUAUUUUAGUAGGAUAUAUUAGUAAUGUACUGUAUGUACAAGAGAUGCUGUUUCUGCUCUUGAAAGAAAGCUAAGCUUAUUGGCUACCACUUGGAGUGAGUGAAAUGUCAGAAUUUGUGUUGUGUACAUAUCAUGACACUUUCUAAAGUUAUUGACCAAAAGUUGCAAAAAAAGAAACAGCAAUAGUAUGGAAACAGCAAUAGCGUCUGAUUGGAGGACUGUCCAAAUCUUCUCCUUAAAACUGCACCGUUUGAACAGAGACUUUGCUUUUUAAGUAUGCUUUUAGCUGGCUUCUAAGUUUGCUUCUAGCCCAACUUUAUAGUUAUGCUGUUAACCACAAUUUUAACAUCAGGGCUUUUAACCUGCUCGCUUUUAGCCACCAGCAUUUUAGCUGAUGGAGCUUGCUUUUAACACCGCCCAAAUGUUUACGCAAAGAAGGCGGUACUAUUAUUCUUGCUGUAGUGUUGCUGCUGUCGCUAUGUGCUAGAUGUGCUGUUUGACGUUUUGUAAACUACUUUGUGCUUCCAAAAGAGGACACAACUAAAAAUAAGUGGUUACUGAUUUCAACUCUGUUUUAGUGCAGUUCAGCCCAAAUGUUAGAGGGUGUUUAAUGCAUUUAAGUAGGACUGUUUUCUUAAAACCAAAAGAGCAGCCUAUGUUGGCAAUACACAGAAACUAUAUUCCAACUGUACAAGGACAGUCUAUAGCGCUUCUCACUCAAAACGUUUAAGUAAGUUUUCUUAUUAAAAUAACCCACUACUUACUAUUUGAACUAUUUAAACAUGAGUUACAUUGAGCGGUAAAAUGUAGUGCUGUUUGUCAUUUCCCCAGUCACAAAUGCAGCCAUGGUGUUUACAUGGUGCAACGCAUAAAGAGAAAGGCUUUUCACACUGUGCUUAACCCCGGGUUAUCAUCAAUCUAAGCAUCGUUUUUUAAUACCGAUAAAGGCUUGUUUCACACCUGAAAGCAGUGCAAGGACCACAAUGUAUCCGGGGUUAUGAAACCCUGCUUGGAGCAGGGUUAGCACUGCAUUUGUGGUGUUAACCCCACAUUGUGGUGAUAAGUUUGUUCAGUGUGAAACGGUAAGGUGUUUGCUUGUUGCUGCUGAACCCUUGGCAGCCAAUCAGAAACUGAACAGCAAAGCUUGUGUCACGUCAGUAACUGAAAACGUGCUUCG